This 20-nucleotide small nuclear RNA is filed under the name Arabidopsis thaliana (thale cress). RNAcentral describes it as "snRNA_13268". The record is from RNAcentral. Lineage: Eukaryota; Viridiplantae; Streptophyta; Magnoliopsida; Brassicales; Brassicaceae.
UUACAUGUUUGGCCCAUGAC